ACUACUUCUAUUGUGGUAGCUGAUGGUAGAAGGAUUUCUAAUUCCUUAAUUUGUCACAGAUUCACAUGGAAAAUUCAGAAUAACAAAUUUUCCUUUGACAUAAGGAUACUGGACCUUGGAGGCUUUGACAUUGUCUUAGGAGUGGAUUGGAUGAAAAGCUUCAACCCCAUUCUCUUUGAUUUUGAAGCUGCAAAGAUUUCUUUUAAGAAGGAUGGACAGUUAAUUACCCUUUAUGGGAAAGAGACAUUUGCUGAAGAAAUUCUAUUAUUGUCCUACAGCUCCUGUUCUUAAUUAAUGCGCAAGCAAGGUGCAGAUUUUACUACACCAGUAUUCUGCAUUCAGUUUCAAGCUUUUGAUUCAGUUGAGAAUCAUUGUAUGACUGCAACUUUGGGUGUAUCUCCUUCCUUAUCUUCUUUACAAUUACUGUUGCAAAAGUAUAGCAGUUUAUUUGAAGAACCUAAGGAUUUACCACCAUUUCGGACUCACAAUUAUGCAAUUCCUUUAAUACCUGGUUCUCAACCAGUAAAUGAGAGACCAUAUCGGUAUCCACACUAUCAGAAGGCUGAGAUAGAAAGGCUGGUGACUGAGAUGCUUGAUUCCUCUAUAAUUCAGCCUAGUAAGAGUCCCUUUGCAUCACCUGUGUUGUUAGUGAAAAAGAAAAACGGAUCAUGGAGAUUUUUUUAUAGAUUAUAGGAAGCUUAAUGACCUGACUGUUAGGAACAAGUUUCCCAUUCCCAUCAUUGAUGAUUUGCUGGAUGAGUUGCAUGGUGCAAAGUAUUUUUCGAAGAUUGACCUUAGAGCAGGGUACCAUCAAAUCAGAAUGGAACCUGUUGACAUUCAUAAGACUGCAUUUAGAACUCACCAUGGGCACUUUGAGUUUAAGGUAAUGCCAUUUGGGCUCACCAAUACACGUGUCACAUUUCAGACACUGAUGAAUCAUAUCUUUCAACCUUCUUAAGAAAGUUUGUUUUGGUUUUCUUUGAUGACAUAUUGGUGUACAGCAAGGAUAUGUAGUCUCAUUUACAACAUUUAGAAGAAGUUUUUAAAGUUUUACAACAGCAGCAACUUUAUGCCAAAAGAUCUAAAUGUUUCUUUGGGGAGACUGAAGUAGAGCAUCUUGGGCGUAUUAUUUCAGCACAGGGUGUAGCUACUGAUCCCAAA
Molecule: unclassified non-coding RNA, 1161 nt
Filed under: Hevea brasiliensis (rubber tree)
Lineage: Eukaryota; Viridiplantae; Streptophyta; Magnoliopsida; Malpighiales; Euphorbiaceae
Source: RNAcentral